ACAUGUGCCGAAAAGUUAGUCUUGGUAUAAAAGGUGUAAAUUUUGAGGUGAAUCUUGUAGUUUUGGAACUAAUGGAGAUUGAUAUCAUCCUUGGAAGAGGAUGGUUAACUGCUUACCAUGGAGAGAUUGACUGUACCCAAUGCUCAGUAUCCCUAACCACCCCAUCAGGAGACAGGUUUGUGUAUGAAGGCACUCGACCUCACCCCAAGGUUUAAAGGACUAAUGGAAUGAUUGUAUCAACAAUGAGGCAGUUCAAAAGGAAUGUGGACCU
RNAcentral lists this long non-coding RNA (271 nucleotides) under Sorghum bicolor (sorghum). Its description in RNAcentral is "long non-coding RNA (SBIC_LNC018622)". The record is from RNAcentral. Lineage: Eukaryota; Viridiplantae; Streptophyta; Magnoliopsida; Poales; Poaceae.